Molecule: ribosomal RNA, 253 nt
Filed under: uncultured bacterium
Lineage: Bacteria
Description: partial 16S ribosomal RNA
Rfam family: Bacterial small subunit ribosomal RNA
Source: RNAcentral
UACGUAGGUGGCAAGCGUUGUCCGGAAUUAUUGGGCGUAAAGGGCGCGUAGGUGGCCCGGUCAGCGUGCGGUGAAAGCUCGGGGCUCAACCCCGAGUCGGCCGUGCGAACUGCUGGGCUUGAGCACUGUAGAGGCAGGCGGAAUUCCGGGUGUAGCGGUGGAAUGCGUAGAGAUCCGGAAGAACACCGGUGGCGAAGGCGGCCUGCUGGGCAGUGGCUGACACUGAGGCGCGACAGCGUGGGGAGCAAACAGG